AACGAACGCUGGCGGCAUGCCUAACACAUGCAAGUCGAACGAGAUCUUCGGGUCUAGUGGCGCACGGGUGCGUAACGCGUGGGAAUCUGCCCUUUGGUUCGGAAUAACAGUUGGAAACGACUGCUAAUACCGGAUGAUGACGAAAGUCCAAAGAUUUAUCGCCAGAGGAUGAGCCCGCGUAGGAUUAGCUAGUUGGUGUGGUAAAGGCGCACCAAGGCGACGAUCCUUAGCUGGUCUGAGAGGAUGAUCAGCCACACUGGGACUGAGACACGGCCCAGACUCCUACGGGAGGCAGCAGUGGGGAAUAUUGGACAAUGGGCGAAAGCCUGAUCAGCAAUGCCGCGUGAGUGAUGAAGGCCUUAGGGUUGUAAGGCUCUUUUACCCGGGAUGAUAAUGACAGUACCGGGAGAAUAAGCUCCGGCUAACUCCGUGCCAGCCGCCGCAGUAA
This 448-nucleotide ribosomal RNA is filed under the name uncultured bacterium. RNAcentral's name for it is "partial 16S ribosomal RNA". It matches the Rfam family "Bacterial small subunit ribosomal RNA", at positions 29 to 523 of the family's 1533-position model. The record is from RNAcentral.